This is a long non-coding RNA of Anneissia japonica, 529 nucleotides long. RefSeq lists it as uncharacterized. The transcript is spliced from 3 exons. Lineage: Eukaryota; Metazoa; Echinodermata; Crinoidea; Comatulida; Comatulidae. The record is from RefSeq and is a predicted model, not a curated record.
AUGGACUACGAAGGAGACUUUACAAUUAAUAACAAAUCUCAUGACAGACAGGCGUAUAUUCAAAUUGGACCUCAUUGGAAAUGGGCUGGACUCCGGCCUAAUGGGUGUUCCUGAUGCUCGACAAAGAAGCCACAACUACGGUAUCUGGAAAGAAUCUCUGGACUGAAAGGUCAACAGAACAUAACAAUUAUUCAUAGACAGCCAAAAAUUGUGUCAGUCAUCAAGCUUCUGGAUAUGAAAUUAAUUAACAUAUAGUGUGAAUUUUAUUUUUUAAAUGUUCUUGUAGGCUGUAUGUUUAUUAAUAUUGUAUUAUUACUGCUAAUGUUUAUCUUUUUAAUUAAGUAACCCGUUUGUUGUAAAGAAUAUAGACAUGUAAGAUAAUAAUAUAUAACAUUUUGAGGAUUAAAAUCAGGUCUAUUGAUUUUUGCCGGAUGUACAUGACAUAGACAUACAUUAUAUAAAUAUAAAAUGUAUACAUAUAUCCCAACUUGAUUUCAAUGCUUGAAAAUAAAUAUCAAAUGGAAUUGUG